This 266-nucleotide unclassified non-coding RNA is filed under the name Trametes hirsuta. RNAcentral's name for it is "partial internal transcribed spacer region". The stretch from base 1 to 46 matches the Rfam family "Eukaryotic small subunit ribosomal RNA", at positions 1786 to 1831 of the family's 1831-position model. The record is from RNAcentral. Lineage: Eukaryota; Fungi; Basidiomycota; Agaricomycetes; Polyporales; Polyporaceae.
AAGUCGUAACAAGGUUUCCGUAGGUGAACCUGCGGAAGGAUCAUUAACGAGUUUUGAAAUGGGUUGUUGCUGGCCUUCCGAGGCAUGUGCACGCCCUGCUCAUCCACUCUACACCUGUGCACUUACUGUAGGUUGGCGUGGGUUUCUAGCCUCCGGGUUGGAAGCAUUCUGCCGGCCUAUGUACACUACAAACUCUUAAAGUAUCAGAAUGUAAACGCGUCUAACGCAUCUUAAUACAACUUUCAGCAACGGAUCUCUUGGCUCUC